CUGGGACAGGCUGCUUUGAGAAAGCUUGGAAUGCAGACGACAGGGAUAAAUCAGCACUGACAACCACACCUUCAGGAACAUUGUGUCAUUUCAUAACGAGACCACAUCAGAGGACGAAAAAACUGCCGGUCCAUCAGACUGUCGAGCUGCUGGGGCAGGAUACGCAGGAAGUCAUCAGGGAGGUUGCCUAGUAACGGAGGGUUCCAGUUCCUGUAGCUGCUGACCUGACGAUGCUCGGUUGGAGGAUUGGCUUCGAACCUGGCACGAAAAAAGAAAAUCAAGGGACAUGUGAAGAACCUUUAAGCGUUCUAAAUGAAAUUUCCCAUUUGUCUUUUCUGCGUUCUUGCCUGGGAGGAGGGAACGGCGGCACGUCAGCCGGGUGCUUCCUGUCAUAGAUGUGCAUCUCGUACGAGGGUGGAGAGUAAACAGGUGGGGGUUCUUCAUCCGAGCUGUCCGGCUCUAAUGUCCUUUCCAAGAUCUGCAGAAGAGAAAACGGUAACACGGUGUCGGUCUUAAGGUGUCGGUCAAGGUGACGGUAUUAAGGUGUCGGUCUACUAUGCAGAAGGUUAUGAGUUCAAACCCCAGCACUUCCAAAAUUACCGCUCUUGGGCCCUUGAGCAAGUCCCUCAGAUGUAUAAUUUAAAUAAACGUAAGUCACUCUGGAUAAGAGUGUCUG
Long non-coding RNA from Ictalurus punctatus (channel catfish), 676 nucleotides. RefSeq lists it as uncharacterized. The record is from RefSeq and is a predicted model, not a curated record. The transcript has 3 exons. NCBI's taxonomy places the organism in Eukaryota, Metazoa, Chordata, Actinopteri, Siluriformes, Ictaluridae.